This is a non-coding RNA of Triticum aestivum (bread wheat), 115 nucleotides long. NCBI's taxonomy places the organism in Eukaryota, Viridiplantae, Streptophyta, Magnoliopsida, Poales, Poaceae. The record is from Rfam.
GUAGUACUCCCUCCGUUCCGAAUUACUUGUCGCAGAAAUGAAUAUAUCUAGAACUAAAAAAUUUCUAGAUACAUCCAUUUCUACGACAAGUAAUUCCGAACGGAGGGAGUUCAAA